AGUAAAAGUCGUAACAAGGUUUCCGUAGGUGAACCUGCGGAAGGAUCAUUACCGAGCUCGUGCCCUUCGGGGUAGAACUCCCACCCUGUAUACCACACCUUUGUUGCUUUAGCGGGCCGCUGCGCCUGCACUACUGGCCACUGUGCGAGUAUGUGCCCGCUAGAAGCCCCUCAACCCGAACGUCCUGUGUCGUCUUGAAAACCAUAAAAUAGAUAAAACUUUCAGCAACGGAUCUCUUGGUUCUGGCAUCGAUGAAGAACGCAGCGAAAUGCGAUAAGUAAUGUGAAUUGCAGAAUUUAGUGAAUCAUCGAAUCUUUGAACGCACAUUGCGCCCCUCGGUAUUCCGAGGGGCAUGCCUGUUCGAGCGUCAUUAUCACCACUCAAGCUCGGCUUGGUCUUGGGCUACGCUGGCGACAGCGGGCCCUAAAUACAGUGGCGGUGUUACCAGGUCCUCAGUGCAGUACUUCUUCUCACUACAGGACCCGGUCAGCACUCGCCAACAGCUCCUCUCUAGGUUGACCUCGGAUCAGGUAGGAAUACCCGCUGAACUUAAGCAUAUCAAUAAGCGGAGGAAAAGAAACCAACAGGGAUUGCCUCAGUAACG
RNAcentral lists this ribosomal RNA (604 nucleotides) under uncultured fungus. RNAcentral's name for it is "eukaryotic LSU rRNA". The stretch from base 217 to 370 matches the Rfam family "5.8S ribosomal RNA". The record is from RNAcentral. Lineage: Eukaryota; Fungi.